GACGAACGCUGGCGGCGUGCUUAACACAUGCAAGUCGAACGGAAAGACCCUGCUUUUGUGGGGUGCUCGAGUGGCGAACGCGUGUGUAACACGUGUGUAACCUGCCCUUGACUUUGGGAUAACUUCACGAAACUGGGGCUAAUAUCGGAUAGGAUCUCCUGCUGCAUGGUGGGGGUUGGAAAGUUUCGGCGGUUGGGGAUGGACUGGCGGCUUAUCAGCUUGUUGGUGGGGUAGUGGCUGACCAAGGGUUUGACGGGUAGCCGGCCUGAGAGGGUGAACGGGGACAAUGCGACUGAGAGAGGGCGCAGACGGGAACGGGAGGCAACGGGCGGAAACCUUGCACAACGGGCCGGAGUGUGUGACGGCGACGCUCGGUGCGUGAAGACGGCCUGUGGGGUAAGAACAGCUGUCGCCUGAGACGAAGCGGUAGUGACGGUAAUGAAUAAAGAAGCACCGGCUAACUACGUG
This 468-nucleotide ribosomal RNA is filed under the name uncultured bacterium. RNAcentral's name for it is "partial 16S ribosomal RNA". It matches the Rfam family "Bacterial small subunit ribosomal RNA", at positions 28 to 507 of the family's 1533-position model. The record is from RNAcentral.